CCGGGAGAGACCGCCGCGGGCGGCACCGAAGGGGCAACACUCUCAGGUAAAAGGACCGGC
This 60-nucleotide non-coding RNA is filed under the name bovine gut metagenome. RNAcentral's name for it is "Glycine riboswitch". It matches the Rfam family "Glycine riboswitch aptamer", at positions 10 to 85 of the family's 94-position model. Rfam says of the family: This family represents the bacterial glycine riboswitch. Glycine riboswitches usually consist of two metabolite-binding aptamers domains with similar structures in tandem. The record is from RNAcentral.